UAAUUGAGAAAAUUAGAUUAAUUGAGGGGUUAAUUGAGAAAGGACCGAAUUGUAUAAACUGUGAAAUUUGGGGCAAAAUGGAAAUCAACAUUUUGCACUAAAGCAGUUUUGGACAGCAGCAGUAGUGUAACUUUGAAAAAUCACCAAAAAUUGUAGAGAUUGAAUUAGAGGAUGAAUAAAAUAUGAAACUAAAGCUGAUUGAGUCUAGUUUCUUAUAAAAGAAAUGAUGUGAGCAAUGGAAUUGUAAAUCAUGAGAUAUAAUAGAUUUUGUGAGAUAAGGUCAGAAUGAAUUCGGGUUCCCCUGUUCUGACUUUGGAAAAUCAUUAAAAAUUGUAAAAAAAUGAUUAUGAGUUAUAGUUUAUAUGGUUAGAAUCCUUAAUGAGUCUAUUUUUAGAAGAAACAAGCUAAAACAUCAUCCGAAUUCUGUACAAUGAGAUAAUUAAUUUUUAGUGAAGAGUGGUCGGAACUGUCAGACAGCGAAACAGGGGAAACUUUAAAGAAUAAACUGUACUAUUUGGCUGAACCAAAAAUUAUGAAAAUUUUAUGGUAUGAAGAUAUGUGAGUCUAGUUUCAUGGAAAAUUAACGGAUCUUAAUUUGGAGCUCUUUAGCUCCGGAUAAAAAUAAUUUAGUGACUCUGACUCGGAUAAACAGCUUUGAAUAUACAUGUUAGUGAAUAUUGAAAUUAUGGU
Molecule: long non-coding RNA, 690 nt
Filed under: Gossypium barbadense (sea-island cotton)
Lineage: Eukaryota; Viridiplantae; Streptophyta; Magnoliopsida; Malvales; Malvaceae
Description: long non-coding RNA (GBAR_LNC021399)
Source: RNAcentral